RNAcentral lists this ribosomal RNA (465 nucleotides) under uncultured bacterium. RNAcentral describes it as "partial 16S ribosomal RNA". It matches the Rfam family "Bacterial small subunit ribosomal RNA", at positions 28 to 507 of the family's 1533-position model. The record is from RNAcentral.
GACGAACGCUGGCGGCGUGCUUAACACAUGCAAGUCGAACGGAAAGGCCCCUUCGGGGGUACUCGAGUGGCGAACAGGUGAGUAACACGGGAGUAACCUGCCCUUGACUUCGGGAUAACUUCAGGAAACUGGGGCUAAUACCGGAUAGGAAUCCUUGCUGCAUGGUGGGGGUUGGAAAGCUUCGGCGGUUUUGGAUGGACUCGCGGCUUAUCAGCUUGUUGGUGGGGGAGUGGCUUACCAAGGCUUUGACGGGUAGCCGGCCUGAGAGGGCGACCGGCCACAUUGGGACUGAGAUACGGCCCAGACUCCUACGGGAGGCAGCAGUGGGGAAUAUUGCACAAUGGGCGGAAGCCUGAUGCAGCAACGCCGCGUGCGGGAUGACGGCCUUCGGGUUGUAAACCGCUUUCAGCAGGGGCGAAGCUUGUGGUGACGGUACCUGCAGAAGAAGCACCGGCUAACUACGUG